This 465-nucleotide ribosomal RNA is filed under the name uncultured bacterium. RNAcentral's name for it is "partial 16S ribosomal RNA". It matches the Rfam family "Bacterial small subunit ribosomal RNA", at positions 28 to 507 of the family's 1533-position model. The record is from RNAcentral.
GAUGAACGCUGGCGGCGUGCUUAACACAUGCAAGUCGAACGGAAAGGCUCCUGUUUGCAGGGGUGCUCGAGUGGCGAACGGGUGAGUAACACGUGGGUGAUCUGCCCUGCACUUCGGGAUAAGCCUGGGAAACUGGGUCUAAUACCGGAUAGGACCACCUUUUGGAUGGUGUGGUGGGAAGUGUUUCGGUGGGGGAUGAGCUCGCGGCCUAUCAGCUUGUUGGUGGGGUAGUGGCUUACCAAGGCGUCGACGGGUAGCCGGCCUGAGAGGGUGUACGGCCACAUUGGGACUGAGAUACGGCCCAGACUCCUACGGGAGGCAGCAGUGGGGAAUAUUGCACAAUGGGCGCAAGCCUGAUGCAGCGACGCCGCGUGGGGGAUGACGGCCUUCGGGUUGUAAACUCCUUUCGCUAGGGACGAAGCGCAAGUGACGGUACCUGGAGAAGAAGCACCGGCUAACUACGUG